This 555-nucleotide long non-coding RNA is filed under the name Salvia miltiorrhiza (redroot sage). RNAcentral's name for it is "long non-coding RNA (SMIL_LNC003030)". The record is from RNAcentral. Lineage: Eukaryota; Viridiplantae; Streptophyta; Magnoliopsida; Lamiales; Lamiaceae.
CUCCACUAAUAUUUUCGUAUUUAUACAAUAUUUCAAACCUUAGGCGAACUUCCCAGUGGGUCACCCAUCUUAGUUGUGCUCUAAGUCAAGCACGCUUAACCUUGAAGUUCCUUUUGAAUUGUCCCCAGUAGAGAACACUCGUAUAAUUGAUAUAUCUAUUGCCUAUUAAAUCAUUUAAAGGCUAUUUCAAUAUACAAUAUAUAUCAUAUAUUCAUAACAUUUGAAUAUGAGGAGAUAAUAUCCAAGUAAUGUUGUUAAUUACGGACCAGUCUCGUGCCGCCCGUAUUUUUAUGGCAAAUAAAUAUUUAUUUUUUUAUUUUUUUAUUAUUUUUUUUAUUUUUUAUUUUUUUUAUCAAUAUAGUUUAUUAAUCAUAAGUAUUUUAAUUUGAUAGUUUUAAUGUAUUUUUGAAUUCAUUUGCAUAUAUGUCCUUAUUUUUAUGUCGAAACAAUAUAUCUAUUUAUUAAUCAAUAUGUUAUUAAUUUUUUUUAUCAAUCUACGUUAUAGAGUAUAAGUAUUUUCAUUUUGUAAUUAUAAUGUAUUUUGAAUUCAUUUGC